RNAcentral lists this ribosomal RNA (253 nucleotides) under uncultured bacterium. RNAcentral describes it as "partial 16S ribosomal RNA". It matches the Rfam family "Bacterial small subunit ribosomal RNA", at positions 524 to 776 of the family's 1533-position model. The record is from RNAcentral.
UACGUAGGGGGCUAGCGUUGUCCGGAAUCAUUGGGCGUAAAGAGCGCGUAGGCGGCCCGGUAAGUCCGCUGUAAAAGUCAAAGGCUCAACCUUUGAAUGUCAGUGGAUACUGCCGGGCUAGAGUCCGGAAGAGGCGAGUGGAACUCCUGGUGUAGCGGUGGAAUGCGCAGAUAUCAGGAAGAACACCAACGGCGAAGGCAGCUCGCUGGGACGGUACUGACGCUGAGGCGCGAAAGCGUGGGGAGCGAACAGG